CUUGAAAAUAAUGCUUCUGAGGUAGACUCUGAAAUCAUCGACACCAAGGUAACAUUUACCAAGCAGUUGUAAAGGAAAAAAUCAUUUAAACGGAAAAUUAAAACACAUUUAAUUUUAGGAAAAAAGUAUACAAAAAACAGUUUUUUACCACCGUUUCAACUAUUGCUUAAACGACACUUUCUGCACUAUUUAGUAUCAUUAAUUACAUUGUACAAUAUCACUAAUAACUUAAGUAUAAUAUAAAUUGAGACAAACAAAAAAAGCAAAAAUAAAACAAAAAUUUCAACUAGAACCAAAAGUAACCAAAUCACGAUUUUCAUAUUCUAAAUUUAGCAGUUUUGCAAAAACAAAAAAAAAACAAACAAACAAAUCCGCAGAAUUGAGUUUUAAAUCUAAUUAUAGAAUUAUAGAUUUUUAUUCUGACUGUCUCAUUGAAACUAAAUUGGUUUCGAAGGUCAGGGUCACUAUCUGGGAUUAUCUGAUAGAUGUAUUUGUAAAUAUUUCCGACGAUGACUAGUCUUUUGAAUAAGUACAGACUGUACGCCGCGUAAGUUUUAGAAGUAUACCGUCUCCGGAACUUCAUUAAAAUAAUUUAAACAUUAACAAACAUUUUAAUCAUUUGUUCUUUCUGAUUCAAAAAUGGCAGUCUGUUGCUUUUGGGAAUUCAAGAUUUCCAGAUUUCCAGAUUUUAUUGUAAAGCAAAGCUCAGAGACAUAUAUGUGUAACAUGCGGUAAUAAUAAACAUGAUUUAUAAUACAGAGGUAACACUAAAAAAAUAAAUAAAAAAAAACAAUCCAUGGGAAGACUAUUAAUCCCUCAUACUGUGUUUUAUGUUUUCGUCUACUUUGAAAGGCUGUGUAGGAGAGGGCCUUUCCCUCUGAAAAUCUUCCCGUCUCCAAUUAAUAUAUCUGUUUCCGACAUCAAUAUGCGAAAAACAAGUAGAACAUUGACCUUGCUGAUGAUUUAUUCAUAAACCUACCGAAUAAUCUGUUAUUCUAUCAUAUAAAUAUCUUAACAUGUUUUUGCAGUUUAUUUCAAUUAAUUCUUUCAGUUUUUUAAUCAAACGAGCGCCUUAUCCAUGUAUUCAUUUCGAAGAUCCAUCAUAACUGUCUCAUCCGUGCACUUGAUGAAUUAUAUUAGUACCUUACAAAACCAACCAUUAUGUUAAAACGACGAUUUAACGUGCAAUAAUGGGGGAAAACCGUUUUAAUCUAAAUUAUGAAAAAAAAAAAAAAAUUCAACAUUCACCAACAUUUUACACCUGCAUUUUCAUGACAUUCCUAAUUGGAACUAAAAAUGAAUAUUAAUAUCAUUAAUCAUUGUACAGUAUUUAUAAAACUUUGUAAAGACUGGCUGUAUAGAUUGACACUUGUCUAUACAUUGCAAAGACCGAAUUUAAAUCCUCACAAACUACGAAUAAUAUGUGGGUUUAUUUUACAGAUUAUAAAAUAUCAACAAUGAACAUUUGCCUUCAACAACUUGCAAUGGAAGUUGUGAUUAGAUGUUGUUAUUCAUUAGGAACCAGUUUGGUGAUACAAAAAUAUCUGAAUGAGUUUCCUACUCCACUUUUACGAAAAUGUCAGGAUAACUUGACUGUCAUUUUAUGGGAUGGUUUUAGUGACGAUCUAUGUGUUAAUUCACUCGAGAUCUUCCUCGUGGUGACGAGGGUCAUCGACCUCAGAGAUCCUCAAAAUAUCCUGUAUACAAGACAACAUUGAGACAGUCAUUUACUUGACUCAUAAGAAUUAUGAAAUUUGGACGUUAUUCAUGACACCGACAAUAGAUUAAGAUAAAAAGAAAAACGCAUAGAGUUUACAGACAAGCAACAUUAGUCUAUAUUAGUCUCGUAUAAAAGAAAUGAUCUAGCCAAAAACCAGUAACAGUUCGAUUUAACUCCCAAUUCCUUGAACUGGAAGUUUUAAAAUGUAUUGGUUUGGCGAAGGCUUGAUACAUUGCAUAAACGUUGAGAUCACUAAGGGUACUAGUGUGUGCUACUUUUGCAGUUGGAAGAUCAAAACAAUUGAUCAACAGACGGAUAGAUAAAGUUGGUCACAGGGCUUUAUGUCUGCAACUAUGGUGGAAGUUAAAAAGAAAGUGUUCUAUGUAUGAGAUCUUAUACUCAUGUGUUUAACAUCAAAUAGUGUGUAAGCUAAUCAGCAUAGUUCUUUGUUAAAA
RNAcentral lists this long non-coding RNA (2175 nucleotides) under Mytilus galloprovincialis (Mediterranean mussel). Lineage: Eukaryota; Metazoa; Mollusca; Bivalvia; Mytilida; Mytilidae. The record is from RNAcentral.